AUGGGAACACACGGCAGCAGACAGCAGGGCUGGGACAUGAGCUGUGGGGUUCUUGCUGGCUGGGCCAUGACUGGCUGCUCUGUCCCCACCCUGCCUGGGAACCCAGCUUGGUGGCCAAAUGCAUCAAGCAACUCCACGAGCAGCUCAGUCAGGGUCUGCGUGCAGCUGCCUGGCCUGCACACAUCAGUCUGGGGAGAGAAGAAGUGCCGUUGUGCUCCUAUGUCCUACUGGAAGCAAACAUGUGGAGCUGAGUGCUGCAGCUCUGCUGUCCUGCUGUCACUUUGGCGUCCCCUGACUGGCUGCGUGGCUGGGCAGGCAUUCAGCGCCAAUAGCAGUGUGGGAGCUGGGAUGCAGCACCUGAAAGCUGGGAUGCAGCACCCGGGAGCUGUAAAAGCCUCUACAGUGCAGCCACUACAUCGGGCAUUUCCAAACCUUUCAGGAAGUCACUGCCACAUUAAAAACCCAAACUACGUAUGCGCUAUAGCAGAGCCGUGGGCGGGUGUUCCAGCACAUAGAUGUGUGCUUUAUGUAAGAAAGCUCCGCGGGCCCCUCAGCCCGCCGACUUUCCGGAGGAUGCGAGCCGGAGCCGUGCCCCCGCCGCUGCCGCUGCCCGCGGGUCAGGCCGCGGUGCGGGCCGGGCCGCCGCCUCCUCCCCGCGCUGCGCGCUCCCGGCGCUCCGCUCGCAGCUCCGCUCCCGAGAAGCCCCGCGGGACCGGGCCCCGCCCGCGGAGCAGCGCUCGGCUCGGGCGGAGCGUCCCGCACAGCUGGAUUUCUGCGAGUGCAGAUGUUGCUAAUGGCAGCUUAAGCACGGAUGGGCAGAGAGCAUAUGGGCUGCAGCGGUGCCAGAUGGGCCGUUUAGCCUCUCGACCCGACGGGUAUCAAUCACACGCGUCCUGGGGACGGCGGAGCGGCUCGGAGCGGGAGAGGAGCAGCUGGGGACCACCCCCACCCCUGACCCGGGUACCGGGCGACGCGAACGCACCGCGCUGCCGUGCUGCGAGGGCAGAGCCGGGCGUCAGCUCCAGCCACCCGUGUGCGGGCCGGGCCCCGACAGCCGCCAAGCAGGCAGCCGCUGGGUUCUUGUCCUGA
RNAcentral lists this long non-coding RNA (1089 nucleotides) under Numida meleagris (helmeted guineafowl). Its description in RNAcentral is "lncRNA (ENSNMEG00000003976.1)". The record is from RNAcentral. Lineage: Eukaryota; Metazoa; Chordata; Aves; Galliformes; Numididae.